RNAcentral lists this ribosomal RNA (498 nucleotides) under Phomopsis sp. HC7. RNAcentral's name for it is "eukaryotic LSU rRNA". The stretch from base 181 to 334 matches the Rfam family "5.8S ribosomal RNA". The record is from RNAcentral. Lineage: Eukaryota; Fungi; Ascomycota; Sordariomycetes; Diaporthales; Diaporthaceae.
CAUUGCUGGAACGCGCUUCGGCGCACCCAGAAACCCUUUGUGAACUUAUACCUUACUGUUGCCUCGGCGCAGGCCGGCCUCUUAGCUGAGGCCCCCCGGAGACGGGGAGCAGCCCGCCGGCGGCCAACCAAACUCUUGUUUCUACAGUGAAUCUCUGAGUAAAAAACAUAAAUGAAUCAAAACUUUCAACAACGGAUCUCUUGGUUCUGGCAUCGAUGAAGAACGCAGCGAAAUGCGAUAAGUAAUGUGAAUUGCAGAAUUCAGUGAAUCAUCGAAUCUUUGAACGCACAUUGCGCCCUCUGGUAUUCCGGAGGGCAUGCCUGUUCGAGCGUCAUUUCAACCCUCAAGCCUGGCUUGGUGUUGGGGCACUGCUCCGAGAGGAGCAGGCCCUGAAAUCUAGUGGCGAGCUCGCUAGGACCCCGAGCGUAGUAGUUAUAUCUCGUUCUGGAAGGCCCUGGCGGUGCCCUGCCGUUAAACCCCCAACUUCUGAAAUUUGAC